AUGAGUCAAAGGAGCACAGUUCCUCAUAUUCUACUAAAAUAAUCAGUUUAGGGUUUCUUACACCGGAAUCAGCCACAAUCAAAAACGACCGUCAUCGUGUCAUCUGGUAGGUGCUUCCGCCAGUGAAACUCCGAUUAGUUCUUAACCGCCAUACGAACGGGUAGCUGAAGCAGCUCCCCAAUGAAAUGAACGGCGGUUCUCCUCUCUCACGACUCCGGUUAAUUCUUAACCGCCAAACCAACAGGUGGUUGAAGCAACGCCGGAAUCAGACGAUCAGUGGCUCUCCUCUUUCUCAAUCAGUAUGUUUGAAUCUUUAAUUUGUAACUAUUUUCUUUUUAAAUUUAAUCAAAUUUUGGUUUUCUGAGCUGUUCUAGUAUAUAUAUACAAAAACAUAAACCUAAAGUCUAUCUCUUUCAACAUCCUCUCUCUAUCCCUCUGUAACCUAAGUCUCACCACCGUCACUCCAGCCACACAGUCCGCCCAGCACCGUGUAACCUAAGGUCUCACCACCGCCACUCUAGCCACCAUCCACCACUCAGCCGCCACCUAAACGCCUCACCACCACCACUUCGACCAUCGACACCAGAAUCACCAUCACCACCACUUCAACCCAUGUAACCUACCUCAGAUCUAAAACCCUUGUAGAUCUAGGAAAUUAUACCUAAACCCUAAAAAAUCUACUCGUCAAUUUGCGAUACUGGUUUUGAAAUAAAAAAAAGUGAGGGUUUCGCCGGAUAGAGAGGAGACCAUUGAUGUUUUAGUCAGCAAUCGAACAAUCAAACAACAGAGGGCUUGUGCGAAUAAACAGAUCUUGCUCAGAUCCGUUGCACAAUUCACCACUAGAAGAUCUCCUGAAUGAGGCUGGUGCCGGAAGCGUUGGUUGCUGAAAAAAAGAUGAUUGAAAGGUUUUAGAGAUUGGAAUUGGUGAUGCGGUGGUUAGAGAGAGAAAGAGUAGGGUGGGUAAUGGUAACAUAGUGGUGGUUUCAGGUAGAGGUGGUUUUAGGCUGUGAUGGUGGUGGUGACAACACUGUGGUGGUGGUGGUGGUAGUGACGAUUGAGAUUUUGAAUGAGAGAGAGGAGUUGUUGAGAGAGACAAAGUUUUGGUUUUUAUAUUAACAAAUGGAUAAAAUAAAAUUACAAGGUAA
This 1145-nucleotide long non-coding RNA is filed under the name Helianthus annuus (common sunflower). Lineage: Eukaryota; Viridiplantae; Streptophyta; Magnoliopsida; Asterales; Asteraceae. The record is from RNAcentral.